UACGAAGGGGGCAAGCGUUGUUCGGAAUUACUGGGCGUAAAGAGCGCGCAGGCGGUCGUUCAAGUCGAGUGUGAAAGCCCCCGGCUCAACUGGGGAGGGUCACGCGAUACUGCUCGACUCGAAGGCAGGAGAGGGAAGUGGAAUUCCCGGUGUAGUGGUGAAAUGCGUAGAUAUCGGGAGGAACACCAGUGGCGAAGGCGACUUCCUGGCCUGUUCUUGACGCUGAGGCGCGAAAGCUAGGGUAGCAAACGGG
RNAcentral lists this ribosomal RNA (253 nucleotides) under uncultured bacterium. Its description in RNAcentral is "partial 16S ribosomal RNA". It matches the Rfam family "Bacterial small subunit ribosomal RNA", at positions 524 to 776 of the family's 1533-position model. The record is from RNAcentral.